This 253-nucleotide ribosomal RNA is filed under the name uncultured bacterium. RNAcentral's name for it is "partial 16S ribosomal RNA". It matches the Rfam family "Bacterial small subunit ribosomal RNA", at positions 524 to 776 of the family's 1533-position model. The record is from RNAcentral.
UACGUAGGGUGCGAGCGUUGUCCGGAAUUACUGGGCGUAAAGAGCUCGUAGGUGGUUUGUCGCGUUGUUCGUGAAAACCCGGGGCUCAACCCCGGGCCUGCAUUCGAUACGGGCAGACUAGAGUUCGGUAGGGGAGUCUGGAAUUCCUGGUGUAGCGGUGAAAUGCGCAGAUAUCAGGAGGAACACCGGUGGCGAAGGCGGGACUCUGGGCCGAUACUGACGCUGAGGAGCGAAAGCGUGGGGAGCAAACAGG